UGGUCUUUUUUUUCUUGUUAUAUUCACCUUUUUCUAAUGAAAAAUGAUGAUGUUUAGUUUGGUUUUUCGUUGUGGUAGUAUAAUUUGGGUUUUAUGCACUAGAAGUGUAUCAUAAUAAAGUAUUGCUAAGGGAUAAAAUCAGUAAGGAAGUAAUGUAAUCUUCUUUCUGACUUUUAUGGCAAGUGCUAACUGUGGUUAUCAAUGUUACUGUUAAAACCAUCAUUUUUUUAAUUUGUGUAUCUUACAUAUAUGUUAAAUAUGUAAUAAAGUGUCACUACUUUUUAGCACUUAUCAUUUGAUGUUAUCCAACAUCUACAUUCAUAUAAGUUCAUGCUAAUGUGUGAAACUGUAGGGAACUUUUACUAUCAUUCAAGAAAUGUUAUCUAAUACAUUAUCAGGAACAAAGUAAGUGAAGGACAAUUAUACCAGGUUUUACUAUACAAGCUUGAUGCCAUCCACAAGGCUUGUGCAUCUUUGGAACCUAGUUACCAACCACCAGUAACAUUUGUAGUAGUUCAAAAGUGGCAUCACACUAGACUCUUUGCAAACAAUCACGAUGAUAACUUGCCAGAAGUCCAAAGGGCAGUACAUGCCAAUGUCUCCAAACUCUCCUAUCCAUGGACUCAUUUAGCCUUGUGGGACCUUGGAAAGAUUCACCAUUGUCCAUCCUUCUUGUCAACAAGAAGCUUGUUGCUGGUGGUCUUCGCAUUUGGGUUUACAAGUCAACUCAAGCCCUUAUAAAGAUGGAUGGAUAAUUAAAGUUGAACUAAGUGACAAUAGUGAACUUAACUAUUGUAGCUCUUUUUUGUUUUAUUUUGCUCUGUACUUUUGUUGAUUAUGCGGGUUCAAUUGGUGAGAAUUGAAGUUAGAGUGCCUAGGUAUUGUUGGACAAUGCAAAAAAUUUUCUUUUAGCUGAGGUGUUUGGAUUGCACAAGUUAGUUUUUCUUUUGUAGCCUAAGCUUUUAUCCCGUCUUUAUAUAUA
Molecule: long non-coding RNA, 982 nt
Organism: Vigna unguiculata (cowpea)
Lineage: Eukaryota; Viridiplantae; Streptophyta; Magnoliopsida; Fabales; Fabaceae
Source: RefSeq, a predicted model, not a curated record